Molecule: long non-coding RNA, 747 nt
Organism: Hemicordylus capensis (graceful crag lizard)
Lineage: Eukaryota; Metazoa; Chordata; Lepidosauria; Squamata; Cordylidae
Exons: 3
Source: RefSeq, a predicted model, not a curated record
UUCACGCACUCGUACAAUUGCUCCCUCACUCGCCCCCUACCCGUUUCUCUUCCCUAUCUGCAUAUGGCAUCCCCACUGCCCAAUCCCCGCGUUGCUUCUGCUCUGUUACCUCGGCUUGAUAUGUAAAGCACUGUGUGGGCGGGGCUUGUCACAUACGUCCUUAGUGUUAACGUAUUAUAUAGAUAGAUAAAAUACGUUAUUACUAUAUUGACAACAUUAUUCUAAUGCAAGUGUGUUCAGAAGGAAGCCUUUUGAGUUCAAUGGGACUUUCUUUCAGAAUUUUAGACCCUGGCUCCCUCUCUUCCUUUCUGCCUCCCUGUCCAGAGGACCCAGGAGUUAAAACCAGAGAGCCAACUCCCUCUCACCUCAGCAACAGGAACAAGGGCACAGCAAACGCCACAGAGCCCACAAAUUCCAGGAACUCCCGAGCAAUGCGGGGUAAUUCUGAGACAGCGCUGGAGACGGUGUGCCACAUGAUUACGAAAAAGUAUUUGAAGCUGCUCUGAUCACGCAUUGGAUUGUAAAUAGUAGUGUAUAAAUCAGAACUGGGCAAAAUGGUCUUCCAGAACUUGAUGAACGACAACUCCCAUCAUCCGGUAGACCAAGAUUGUCCAGCCCUGGUAUAAAUGCUAAACACAUUAAAGUGCUGUUUCUCAGGUGUUACAAAAUCAUGCUUCUUGAUCUAUGUCUCUCUGGGGAAGCCCACCCACCUCCACAGAAACACUUGAUCAAACCUCAGAAUCCUCU